RNAcentral lists this ribosomal RNA (429 nucleotides) under Acidobacteriota bacterium. RNAcentral describes it as "Acidobacteria bacterium partial 16S ribosomal RNA". It matches the Rfam family "Bacterial small subunit ribosomal RNA", at positions 355 to 776 of the family's 1533-position model. Lineage: Bacteria; Pseudomonadati; Acidobacteriota. The record is from RNAcentral.
AGGGGAAUUUUGGACAAUGGGGGAAACCCUGAUCCAGCCAUCCCGCGUGUGCGAUGAAGGCCUUCGGGUCGUAAAGCACUUUUGGCAGGAAAGAAACGUCAUGGGUUAAUACCCCGUGAAACUGACGGUACCUGCAGAAUAAGCACCGGCUAACUACGUGCCAGCAGCCGCGGUAAUACGUAGGGUGCAAGCGUUAAUCGGAAUUACUGGGCGUAAAGCGUGCGCAGGCGGUUCGGAAAGAAAGAUGUGAAAUCCCAGAGCUCAACUUUGGAACUGCAUUUUUAACUACCGGGCUAGAGUGUGUCAGAGUGAGGUGGAAUUCCGAGUGUAGCAAUGAAAUGCGUAGAUAUGCAGAGGAACACCGAUGGCGAAGGCAGCCUCCUGGGAUAACACUGACGCUCAUGAACGAUAGCGUGGGGAGCAAACAGG